RNAcentral lists this long non-coding RNA (1149 nucleotides) under Homo sapiens (human). RNAcentral describes it as "HSALNT0341495". The record is from RNAcentral. Lineage: Eukaryota; Metazoa; Chordata; Mammalia; Primates; Hominidae.
GUUCACGCCUGUAAUCCCAGCACUUUGGGAGGCCAAGGUGAUCUCAGCCCUCCUCUAGGCUUCGAUUAUAACUUACAGGAUUGUGAUUCACACAUUUCAGUUUCCACCACAGGCCCCUCCAGACAUGUCCAUCUGCCUGCUGUGUUGACUUUUCCCUUUGGAGUCUUGAGGCAGCUACAAGCUUACUGACCAGAAAUGAACUCAAGCUCUCCCCGAAGCCUGGUCCUCUUCCAGGAUCAGCCAGCCUGGAAGAUGGCACUGUCAUCCACCCUGUUCUCAGGCCUGCCACCCAGGAGUCAACCUUAGCCCCAUCUAAUUGUCAGAGGCAUCUGAACCAGAGCAACUCCAUCUUGAGUAGGGGAUGGGUAAAAUGAGGCUGAGACCUGCUGGGCUGCAUUCCCAGACAGCCAAGGCAUUAGCCACAGGAUAAGAUAGGAGGUCGGUACAAGACACAGGUCAUAAAGACCUUGCUGAUAAAACAGUUUGCAGUAAAGAAGCCAGCCAAAACCCACUAAAACCAAGAUGGCAACGAGAGUGACCUCUGGUCGUCCUCACUGCUACCCUCCCACCAGCACCAUGACAGUUUACAAAUGCCAUGGCAAUGUCAGAAAGUUACCCUAUAGGGUCUAAAAAGGGGAGGCAUGAAUAAUCUACCCCUUGUUUAGCAUAUCAUCAAGAAAUAACCAUAAAAAUAGGCAACCAGCAGCCCUCAGGGAUGCUCUGUCUAUGGAGUAGCCAUUCUUUUGUUCCUUUACUCUCUUAAUAAACUUGCUUUCACUUUACUCUAUGGACUCGCCCUGAAUUCUCUCUUGUGCAAGAUCCAAGAACCCUCUCUUGGGGUCUGGAUCGGAACCCCUUUCCUGUAACAUAAUCAAUUUGGUGCCAAAUGCAUGAAGUGUUAUCUUCUAGGUCUCUCAAAUCCAUCCACUGUUCUCCAUCCAGGAGAGUGUCACCAGGGCUGGCACAGAUGGUUGCAUACUGCAGAAAGGUCACCACGCAAGCCAUUACCUCUCACCUGUUCCAUGAAAAUACCAACUCAUCUCCUUCCCUUUUGGCCUCUCCAAGCCAUAUUCCAAUCCACAGCUAAAACGAUUUCAUUAAAAUGCAAAUCUAAUCCCGUUGUUCCUUUGCAUAACUGCCCUGGGGAGA